GACGAACGCUGGCGGCGUGCUUAACACAUGCAAGUCGAACGGUAAGGCCCUUCGGGGUACACGAGUGGCGAACGGGUGAGUAACACGUGGGUGAUCUGCCCUGCACUUCGGGAUAAGCCUGGGAAACUGGGUCUAAUACCGGAUAGGACCACUGCCUGCAGGGGAGGUGGUGGAAAGCUUUUGCGGUGUGGGAUGGGCCCGCGGCCUAUCAGCUUGUUGGUGGGGUGAUGGCCUACCAAGGCGACGACGGGUAGCCGGCCUGAGAGGGUGACCGGCCACACUGGGACUGAGAUACGGCCCAGACUCCUACGGGAGGCAGCAGUGGGGAAUAUUGCACAAUGGGCGCAAGCCUGAUGCAGCGACGCCGCGUGAGGGAUGACGGCCUUCGGGUUGUAAACCUCUUUCAGCACCGACGAAGCGCAAGUGACGGUAGGUGCAGAAGAAGGACCGGCCAACUACGUGCCAGCAGCCGCCGUAA
This 478-nucleotide ribosomal RNA is filed under the name uncultured bacterium. Its description in RNAcentral is "partial 16S ribosomal RNA". It matches the Rfam family "Bacterial small subunit ribosomal RNA", at positions 28 to 523 of the family's 1533-position model. The record is from RNAcentral.